AGAAACUUAGGAUAAUAA
This 18-nucleotide transfer RNA is filed under the name Hylarana nigrovittata (black-striped frog). Its description in RNAcentral is "Sylvirana nigrovittata (black-striped frog) partial tRNA-Trp". Lineage: Eukaryota; Metazoa; Chordata; Amphibia; Anura; Ranidae. The record is from RNAcentral.